UGCACCAAGUCUACAGUGAACUUUCUUA
Molecule: non-coding RNA, 28 nt
Filed under: Homo sapiens (human)
Lineage: Eukaryota; Metazoa; Chordata; Mammalia; Primates; Hominidae
Source: RNAcentral